GUCUACAGCCAUACCACCCUGAACACGCCUGAUCUCUUCUGACCUUGGAAGCUAAGCAGGGUCGGGCCUGGUUUGUACUUGGAUAGGAGACUGCCUGGGAGUACCAGGUGCUAUAGACU
Molecule: ribosomal RNA, 119 nt
Filed under: Notamacropus eugenii (tammar wallaby)
Lineage: Eukaryota; Metazoa; Chordata; Mammalia; Diprotodontia; Macropodidae
Source: RNAcentral